GCCUACGGGACGCAGCAGUGGGGAAUAUUGGACAAUGGGGGGAACCCUGAUCCAGCGACGCCGCGUGAGUGAAGAAGUAUCUCGGUAUGUAAAGCUCUAUCAGCAGGGAAGAAAGAAAUGACGGUACCUGACUAAGAAGCCCCGGCUAACUACGUGCCAGCAGCCGCGGUAAUACGUAAGGGGCAAGCGUUAUCCGGAUUUACUGGGUGUAAAGGGAGCGUAGACGGCUGAGCAAGUCUGAAGUGAAAGGCGGGGGCCCAACCCCCGGACUGCUUUGGAAACUGUAUAACUAGAGUGCAGGAGAG
RNAcentral lists this ribosomal RNA (305 nucleotides) under uncultured bacterium. RNAcentral describes it as "bacterial SSU rRNA". It matches the Rfam family "Bacterial small subunit ribosomal RNA", at positions 337 to 656 of the family's 1533-position model. The record is from RNAcentral.